This 643-nucleotide ribosomal RNA is filed under the name uncultured bacterium. RNAcentral describes it as "bacterial SSU rRNA". It matches the Rfam family "Bacterial small subunit ribosomal RNA", at positions 26 to 644 of the family's 1533-position model. The record is from RNAcentral.
AGAACGAACGCUGGCGGCGUGCUUAACACAUGCAAGUCGAACGCGAAAGUUUUCUUCGGAAGAUGAGUAGAGUGGCGCACGGGUGAGUAACGCGUAAAUAAUCUACCCCUGCAUUCGGGAUAACCCACCGAAAGGUGUGCUAAUACCGGAUACGUUCUUUUGAUCGCGAGAUUAAGAGAAGAAAGGUGGCCUCUGAUAUAAGCUACUGUGCGGGGAGGAGUUUGCGUACCAUUAGCUAGUUGGUAGGGUAAUGGCCUACCAAGGCAAUGAUGGUUAGCGGGUCUGAGAGGAUGAUCCGCCACACUGGAACUGGAACACGGACCAGACUCCUACGGGAGGCAGCAGUGAGGGAUAUUGCGCAAUGGGGGCAACCCUGACGCAGCGACGCCGCGUGGAUGAUGAAGGCCUUCGGGUCGUAAAAUCCUGUCAGAUGGAAAGAAAUGUAUAUGUAUUAAUACUAUGUAUGCUUGACGGUACCAUCAAAGGAAGCACCGGCUAACUCCGUGCCAGCAGCCGCGGUAAUACGGAGGGUGCAAGCGUUGUUCGGAAUUACUGGGCGUAAAGCGCGCGUAGGUGGUCUGUUAUGUCAGAUGUGAAAGUCCACGGCUCAACCGUGGAAGUGCAUUUGAAACUGGCAGACUUG